This 590-nucleotide ribosomal RNA is filed under the name uncultured fungus. RNAcentral's name for it is "eukaryotic LSU rRNA". It matches the Rfam family "Eukaryotic large subunit ribosomal RNA", at positions 37 to 652 of the family's 3401-position model. Lineage: Eukaryota; Fungi. The record is from RNAcentral.
AGCAUAUCAAUAAGCGGAGGAAAAGAAACCAACAGGGAUUGCCCUAGUAACGGCGAGUGAAGCGGCAACAGCUCAAAUUUGAAAUCUGGCCCCCGGGUCCGAGUUGUAAUUUGUAGAGGAUGCUUUUGGUGAGGUACCUUCCGAGUUCCCUGGAACGGGACGCCAUAGAGGGUGAGAGCCCCGUCUGGUCGGAUACCGAUCCUCUGUAAAGCUCCUUCGACGAGUCGAGUAGUUUGGGAAUGCUGCUCUAAAUGGGAGGUAUAUGUCUUCUAAAGCUAAAUAUAGGCCAGAGACCGAUAGCGCACAAGUAGAGUGAUCGAAAGAUGAAAAGCACUUUGAAAAGAGGGUUAAACAGUACGUGAAAUUGUUGAAAGGGAAGCGCUUGUGACCAGACUUGGGCCCGGUUAAUCAUCCAGCGUUCUCGCUGGUGCACUUGGCCGGCCCAGGCCAGCACCAGUUCGGCGUGGGGGAUAAAGGCGGCGGGAAUGUGGCUCCUCCGGGAGUGUUAUAGCCCACCGUGUAAUACCCUGUGCUGGACUGAGGUUCGCGCAUUCGCAAGGAUGCUGGCGUAAUGGUCAUUAGCGACCCGU